AGAGUCACUCCUACGGGAGGCAGCAGUUGGGAAUCUUGGACAAUGGGGGAAACCCUGAUCCAGCCAUGCCGCGUGAGUGAUGAAGGCCUUCGGGUUGUAAAGCUCUUUCGCAAGGGAAGAAAACUUAGCUAAUAACACUAGCUGAGGCUGACGGUACCGGAAGAAGAAGCACCGGCUAACUCUGUGCCAGCAGCCGCGGUAAUACAGAGGGUGCAAGCGUUGUUCGGAAUUAUUGGGCGUAAAGGGCGCGUAGGCGGUUCGGCAAGUCUCUAGUGAAAUCUCUGGGCUCAACCCUGGAAGUGCACUCGAAACUGAUCGGCUUGAAUAUGGAAGAGGGUCGCGGAAUUCCCGGUGUAGAGGUGAAAUUCGUAGAUAUCGGGAGGAACACCAGUGGCGAAGGCGGCGACCUGGGCCAAUAUUGACGCUGAGGCGCGACAGCGUGGGGAGCAAACAGGAUUAGAUACCCUGGUAGUCCACGCCGUAAACGAUGGGCACUAGAUGCUUGGGGGAGCGACCCUCCGAGUGUCGGCGCUAACGCAUUAAGUGCCCCGCCUGGGGAGUACGGCCGCAAGGUUGAAACUUAAAGGAAUUGACG
Molecule: ribosomal RNA, 595 nt
Filed under: uncultured bacterium
Lineage: Bacteria
Description: bacterial SSU rRNA
Rfam family: Bacterial small subunit ribosomal RNA
Source: RNAcentral